UUACCCACAAUGCUCAGAGAGUCAGAGGGAGGGGGAGGAGGUGGAUGGUGAGAAGGAGGAGCAGAGGAGGCGCGCCAUAGAGGGAGUGGUGCACAUCACAAUACUCUGCCUGAUGGAGAUGAACAAGAAGGGACUGGCCGACAAACUGUUGAGCGGAUAUGCUGCUGUCGAGUGCCAACAUAAAAUCAAGUCUCGUUUGAGGAAGAAGUUCUGGUGUGUGUUUGAGGGAAUCGCUAAAGCAGGACAUUCAACACCUCUGAAUGAGUUUUACACAGAGAUCUUCAUCACAAAGAGAGGCAGUGGAGAGGUCAACCAGGAACAUGAGGUCAGGCUGAUUGAAGCAGCUUCCAGGAAACCAGCCGAGGAGGAAACACCAAUCAGAUGUGAGGACAUCUUUAAACCAUUACCUGGAGAAGAUAAACCAAUCAGGACAAUAAUGACAACGGGAGUAGCCGGCAUUGGUAAAACCAUCUUAACAAAAAAGUUCACUCUGGACUGGGCUGAAGG
Molecule: long non-coding RNA, 507 nt
Organism: Gadus morhua (Atlantic cod)
Lineage: Eukaryota; Metazoa; Chordata; Actinopteri; Gadiformes; Gadidae
Exons: 2
Source: RefSeq, a predicted model, not a curated record